AGAGUAGUGAUAUCGCGUCAAGUGCCUUUGGAUGGGAGGUUGCCAAAGGACGAAGGAAGGGUUCCCUUCCGCGGUGGUGUCACGCAGCCGCU
RNAcentral lists this non-coding RNA (92 nucleotides) under human gut metagenome. Its description in RNAcentral is "THF riboswitch". It matches the Rfam family "THF (Tetrahydrofolate) riboswitch aptamer". Rfam says of the family: THF riboswitch presents a pseudoknot that joins P1-P2 and the loop of P3 and two THF binding. RNAcentral also lists the same sequence under 2 other names. The record is from RNAcentral.